RNAcentral lists this ribosomal RNA (382 nucleotides) under Allocoprococcus comes. RNAcentral's name for it is "bacterial SSU rRNA". It matches the Rfam family "Bacterial small subunit ribosomal RNA", at positions 113 to 513 of the family's 1533-position model. The record is from RNAcentral. Lineage: Bacteria; Bacillati; Bacillota; Clostridia; Lachnospirales; Lachnospiraceae.
ACACGUGGGUAACCUGCCUCAUACAGGGGGAUAACAGUUAGAAAUGACUGCUAAUACCGCAUAAGACCACAGAGCCGCAUGGCUCAGUGGGAAAAACUCCGGUGGUAUGAGAUGGACCCGCGUCUGAUUAGGUAGUUGGUGGGGUAACGGCCUACCAAGCCAACGAUCAGUAGCCGACCUGAGAGGGUGACCGGCCACAUUGGGACUGAGACACGGCCCAAACUCCUACGGGAGGCAGCAGUGGGGAAUAUUGCACAAUGGGGGAAACCCUGAUGCAGCGACGCCGCGUGAGCGAAGAAGUAUUUCGGUAUGUAAAGCUCUAUCAGCAGGGAAGAAAAUGACGGUACCUGACUAAGAAGCACCGGCUAACUACGUGCCAGAG